CACCUGGUCAGGCCCUCCGACGCUGGGCA
RNAcentral lists this small RNA (29 nucleotides) under Bombyx mori (domestic silkworm). RNAcentral describes it as "ovarian small RNA-13005". The record is from RNAcentral. Lineage: Eukaryota; Metazoa; Arthropoda; Insecta; Lepidoptera; Bombycidae.